AAUAAAGUAUAAGUCAAUCAAAAUCACACAGUAUAGACUCUAAACCAAAAUAGUAUAUCUGAAAAUCAAAAAGAAAAUAAAGAUAUUAAUAACUACAAAGAAAAUCAAUGUAUUAAUAAAUGAAAAGCAAUUCAAGAUAAUCACUAUAUAUAAACAAUACUAAAGAGAAUAACACAAAUCAAUAUAAGAAAUAUAUAUAUAACCACAAUGACUUACCAACUAUAUGCAAAACCUGAACUUGUAUAUGAGUUGUAAAGCUUGUACGUCUACAAACCCAUGUCAAACAAGUAUGAUAUCAAAUCAAAGAGAAAAAAAAAAUAUGUAAAUAAAUAUGCAAGUUAAAUAUAUACAAAUGAAUAUACAGACAACUAUAUAUACAACUAGGACAAUAUAAUCACAAG
Molecule: long non-coding RNA, 401 nt
Filed under: Mytilus galloprovincialis (Mediterranean mussel)
Lineage: Eukaryota; Metazoa; Mollusca; Bivalvia; Mytilida; Mytilidae
Source: RNAcentral